GGUCACGUAGUGCAAUGGCAACCUUAAUCUACCUAUUGAAUAAGUUCUCGGUUCAAAUCCGAGCGUGACCA
Molecule: non-coding RNA, 71 nt
Organism: Hysterangium stoloniferum
Lineage: Eukaryota; Fungi; Basidiomycota; Agaricomycetes; Hysterangiales; Hysterangiaceae
Source: the annotation of a GenBank genome assembly